This 253-nucleotide ribosomal RNA is filed under the name uncultured bacterium. Its description in RNAcentral is "partial 16S ribosomal RNA". It matches the Rfam family "Bacterial small subunit ribosomal RNA", at positions 524 to 776 of the family's 1533-position model. The record is from RNAcentral.
UACGUAGGUGGCGAACGUUAUCCGGAAUUACUGGGCGUAAAGGGUCCGCAGGCGGGUCGCCAAGUCCGGCGUGAAAGCUCCCGGCUCAACUGGGAGAGGGCGUUGGAAACUGGCGGUCUUGAAUCUCAGAGAGGUCGGUGGAAUUCCCGGUGUAGUGGUGGAAUGCGUAGAGAUCUGCAAGAACACCCGUGGCGAAGGCGGCCAGCUGGGCCGGAUCCGACGCUGAGGCGCGAAAGCGUGGGGAGCAAACAGG